This 58-nucleotide microRNA precursor is filed under the name Macaca mulatta (Rhesus monkey). RNAcentral's name for it is "Mml-Mir-506-P1b_pre stem-loop". Lineage: Eukaryota; Metazoa; Chordata; Mammalia; Primates; Cercopithecidae. The record is from RNAcentral.
UACUCCGGAGAGUGGCAAUCACAUAUAAUUAAGUGUGAUUGAAACCUCUAAGAGUGGA